UGACUUAGCGGCGGACGGGUGAGUAACGCGUGGGUAACCUGCCUUACACUGGGGGAUAACAGUUAGAAAUGACUGCUAAUACCGCAUAAGCGCACAGGGCCGCAUGGUCUGGUGUGAAAAACUCCGGUGGUGUAAGAUGGACCCGCGUCUGAUUAGGUAGUUGGUGGGUAACGGCCCACCAAGCCGACGAUCAGUAGCCGACCUGAGAGGGUGACCGGCCACAUUGGGACUGAGACACGGCCCAAACUCCUACGGGAGGCAGCAUG
RNAcentral lists this ribosomal RNA (266 nucleotides) under uncultured bacterium. RNAcentral describes it as "partial 16S ribosomal RNA". It matches the Rfam family "Bacterial small subunit ribosomal RNA", at positions 88 to 353 of the family's 1533-position model. The record is from RNAcentral.